This 139-nucleotide unclassified non-coding RNA is filed under the name uncultured Ascomycota. RNAcentral's name for it is "sequence contains ITS2". The record is from RNAcentral. Lineage: Eukaryota; Fungi; Ascomycota.
CAACCCUCAAGCUCUGCUUGGUGAUGGGCGACACUUGCGUGCGCCCCAAAAUCAGCGGCGGUGCUGCCCUGGCUUCCUGCGUAGCAAACUAUCUCGCUACGGAGCCGCGGCGGUGCCUGCCGGAAUCACUAUUAUCAAA